RNAcentral lists this ribosomal RNA (416 nucleotides) under uncultured beta proteobacterium. RNAcentral describes it as "bacterial SSU rRNA". It matches the Rfam family "Bacterial small subunit ribosomal RNA", at positions 9 to 431 of the family's 1533-position model. The record is from RNAcentral. Lineage: Bacteria; Pseudomonadati; Pseudomonadota; Betaproteobacteria.
GAGUUUGAUCGUGGCUCAGAUUGAACGCUGGCGGCAUGCCUUACACACGCAAGUCGAACGCGAAAGCGGGGCAACCCGCAAGUAGAGUGGCGAACGGGUGAGUAAUACAUCGGAACAUAUCCAGUAGCGGGGGAUAACCUGUCGAAAGAUAGGCUAAUACCGCAUACGCCCUACGGGGGAAAGCGGGGGUCGCAAGACCUCGCACUAUUGGAGUGGCCGAUGUCGGAUUAGCUAGUUGGCGGGGUAAAAGCCCACCAAGGCGACGAUCCGUAGCUGGUCUGAGAGGACGACCAGCCACACUGGAACUGAGACACGGUCCAGACUCCUACGGGAGGCAGCAGUGGGGAAUUUUGGACAAUGGGCGCAAGCCUGAUCCAGCCAUGCCGCGUGAGUGAAGAAGGCCUUCGGUUGUAAGC